GACGAACGCUGGCGGCGUGCCUAACACAUGCAAGUCGAACGGAGAUUGCAGCAAUGUAAUCUUAGUGGCGAACGGGUGAGUAACGCGUAGACAACCUGCCUCAAAGCUGGGGAUAACACCGCGAAAGUGGUGCUAAUACCGAAUAACCUGAAUUUUGCGCAUGCAAAAUACAGCAAAGACGGCCUCUGAAAAUGCUGUCGCUAUGAGAAGGGUCUGCGUCCUAUUAGCUAGUUGGUGAGGUAACGGCCCACCAAGGCUUCGAUGGGUAGCUGGUCUGAGAGGACGACCAGCCACAUUGGGACUGAGAUACGGCCCAGACUCCUACGGGAGGCAGCAGUGGGGAAUCUUGGCCAAUGGACGAAAGUCUGAUGGUGCGACGCCGCGUGAGGGAUGAAGGUCUUCGGAUUGUAAACCUCUGUCACCGGGGAAGAAACGCUUCGAGCUAAUAGUUCAAAGCCUGACUUAACCCGGAGAGGAAGCAGUGGCUAACUCUGUGCCAGCCGCCGCGGUAA
This 512-nucleotide ribosomal RNA is filed under the name uncultured bacterium. Its description in RNAcentral is "partial 16S ribosomal RNA". It matches the Rfam family "Bacterial small subunit ribosomal RNA", at positions 28 to 523 of the family's 1533-position model. The record is from RNAcentral.